This 468-nucleotide ribosomal RNA is filed under the name uncultured bacterium. RNAcentral describes it as "partial 16S ribosomal RNA". It matches the Rfam family "Bacterial small subunit ribosomal RNA", at positions 28 to 507 of the family's 1533-position model. The record is from RNAcentral.
GACGAACGCUGGCGGCGUGCUUAACACAUGCAAGUCGAACGGAAAGGCCCUGCUUUUGUGGGGUGCUCGAGUGGCGAACGGGUGAGUAACACGUGAGUAACCUGCCCUUGACUUUGGGAUAACUUCAGGAAACUGGGGCUAAUACCGGAUAGGAGCUCCUGCUGCAUGGUGGGGGUUGGAAAGUUUCGGCGGUUGGGGAUGGACUCGCGGCUUAUCAGCUUGUUGGCGGGGUAGUGGCUUACCAAGGCUUUGACGGGUAGCCGGCCUGAGAGGGUGACCGGCCACAUUGGGACUGAGAUACGGCCCAGACUCCUACGGGAGGCAGCAGUGGGGAAUAUUGCACAGUGGGCGGAAGCCUGAUGCAGCAACGCCGCGUGCGGGAUGACGGCCUUCGGGUUGUAAACCGCUUUCGCCUGUGACGAAGCGUGAGUGACGGUAAUGGGUAAAGAAGCACCGGCUAACUACGUG